GGUGCCUUCAGCUUCAGCGUGCCCUCACCACUAAAAAUGGGCUGCCCUCACCGCACCUUAUCCACAUCUAAGACACCGCAAGAUCUGAGCCGCCAACCAGCCGAUGCUCCACCGCUCCUGUUGAUCUCGCUGGCUGGCGCCGGGCUGCCGGCGCCGCAGCAUCUCUUCCCUCCUCCUCGUAUUUCUCUCCAACAGCGACCACACCUCCCAAGUCCCAACUCAAAUUCCACAAGCGCUCCUACAGGCUAACUGAACAUGUCUGCCGAGCUGCUCCUACAGGCUACAGCUGCAUCUCCUCUCCCGUUUCUUGUCAUAAUGUAUUUUUUGAUUAUUUUUUUGGUUCAUUCCAUUGACGACCACUGCUUGAGUUCUUCCCUAUGGUGUUUGACUUUUUCUUUGGUCUCUUCGGUCUGAAACUGACGACCGAACCGAAGUAUCGGUCCACCGAAUUCUCGGUUAGCAGAAUUUUAUAAGACCGAUCGGUCAUCAAUUUCCCAAAACCGAAAUCUCUCCCUAAUAACGUGGCCUUUUCUAGAAAACCCCUUUUGCUUUUCAGUAUUUGAACCCGCAAUCCCUCUUUUACUGGAUGUCAAAAAACGUUUCGUGUUUUACAAAAAGACCCCUGCCUCUUAUCCACAUCCGCUUCCUUUUUCCAGCUGCGGCGGAGCGGCAGAAGAGGGGCGGGCCGAGCAGGAGAAGUUGAGGGGUGGCGCCCUUGCCGGCGGACGGCUACAGUCGCGGCGGGGAGGCGGGGCCGUAUGCGUCAGAUGCGCGCGCGCGGACGCAGCGGCCGUCCAUGGCGGCUCGUCUCGAUCAGGAGGACGAGGGGAAGGGCUCGCGAGGGCCGGCACCGGGAAUGGAGCGGAGGCGGGUGGAUCUGGCGAUUCCGAAGGAGCUGCGGCGGCGAGCGGCUCCGUGGGCGGCGACCUGCGAGGUUCAAGCGGCGGCUGCCAUGAAGGUUGAGCGGCACCUCUGCCUCACCACGGUUCCUGCCCAGCCGAGCCCACAUAGCACGCGGCGGAGGAGAAGUUGAGGGGCGGGCGGAGCAGGAGAAGUUGAGGGGCGGCGCGUUGACGGCGGCGACAGCUUCGGGUGGGCUCGUGGGCGAGCGUGCUGCAGGAAAAAUCAGGUCCCCGCCGGCGACGAGCUUGCUGGAGCCGAUGAAGGGACCCGCGCGCGUUGGCCGGCCUUGCUCUGGCGGCGGAGCUCGAGGGCGUGCCGGCUGCUGCACGUGGCGGAGCUGCUGCUCCUGCUUUUUCACUGCGUCGGCCGGCCUUCAGUGGCGGCGGCGCCGGCCUUGCUCUGGCGACGGAGCUCGAGGGCGUGCCGGCUGCUGCACGUGGCGGAGCUGCUGCUCCUGCUGUUCCGGCGCCGUCGGCCGGCCUUCAGUGGCGGCGGCUCGAGCUCCUGGGCAUGGCCAGCGGCUGCUCCAGUUGCUGGGCGCGGCGGCCGGAGCAGCACGCACCAGUUCUUCCUGCAGCCGCGUCGCCCACGUUCCCGAAAACCACCGUCCGCCAUGGCCGAUGAACCCAGUGCUCUCGAGCCCCUCGGCUUGCUCCCGCGGCACCAACAUGCUCGAAGAAUUGCCGACGCGUCCAGGGUGGGACUGCUCUCCAAUACGGACUCCAGGUCAUUCUUGGACUGAAAGGAUUCCAGAUAGUGGCCAUGGUGGAUGGAUGAUAUGAGGUGAUCUGGGUGCUGCAUUUGAUGGCCAUGAUCUGUUUGCUGCAGGCCAACUCCCUGCUUGUGGCCUCUGAAGGUUGGGAAACUAUAAUUGAAAUGUAUCUGAAGACAUGGUCAGCACGUUUAGGCACUUAUGAAUUCGAAAAUGUUAAUUGUUUGUUGUGCACUGAAGUUUUUGUGUUCAUAGUACUUCACGCCGAUAGCUGAUAAGGAAUUGAUUUUUUGCCAAUGUAUACAUAGAAAAGACAUGUAACUGUAGAUUUUUUUUUAAGAGAGCUAGCUACUUGGAUUACGCAUCGGCAAGUACUCCCACAGAUACAAUUAGAACUGGGUUUGCUCUUAAUUAAGCAGCUCGCUAGAUAACUUUUAAGGAUUUUCCCCAAAUCAAAAUAAUAACCUUGAAGUUCAGAUCUUCUACUGAAAGUCCUUUUCUAUCUAUGAACAUCAGGAGACAACUUCCAGUUCCAGUAGACCUAUCCGAUAGAAUUCUCGAAGCUAUUAGCUUGCAAGCUCUCAAUCAGGUAUUGUAUUCGCAACUUAGCGUAUUUUUUACUGAAGUUUGGUGCCUAACUCCCAAACAUCUUUUGUCAAUGGUAAGAAUGUAGAUGUUGACAACUUGACAUGAAUUUUAUGCUUUCUGCAAGAAGAGUGGUAUCAAUAUUAAUAGAGAAGUAGACAUUGUUCGAAUUAUUCCCGAUUAUUUGUGUUAUGUUAAUAGCUGCCUGCUCCUCCUUGGUCCCCUGUCAACUGUACAAAAGGUAAUUUAUCAGAAUCUUACAGCCUUUUAGCUGCACCUGAGCCUAUGAGGUUCCUUAGUUUCACCACUGAACAUGAAGCUACUCAAGUCUGAAGUCUGAAACGAUUGUCGGCGAUCGCAUUAUGAAUUCAGAAUUGAGAAAAUGAUGCACUAUCAAUAAAAUCAUUACAACCAGUGUCGAUUUGAACCGAUGAAUGUGCUUACUUCCAUGGUGCUACAGUAUAUACAAUCCCAAUGAUUUGUAUUCCUUGUGCCAUAAAAAUUUCUGCCGAUGCAACUGUGAGCUCAGGGGCAAUUUGUUUUAUAUUUUUAUAUAGUUGCAAUAAAAUGCUACGGUUGCGCGUUGGCUUUGCAUGUCUGAUUAGCUGGCUGAUGAAUAUUGUUACUCAAUUAAAAUGAUCUGGGAUUUUUUCAUGCCAAUAAAUACUCUCUGAAUUGUUAGUGUUUUGCACAGACUUCAUGUAGCAAGAAAUGUGAUGUCUGAAGGGAUGCACAUGUCUCCUUGGCAAAAAAAGAGACCGCAAUUAACACAAAUCCAAUGCAUCAAGGUCAGCAGUUCCAUAUUUUUAUGACCGGGAGUGUACCACUUCAUGCAUGCACUUUCUUUUAUUGUCGAUAACACGCCCGAUGCUUCGCGAAAUGUCUGAAUGAGAAAGAAAGAAAGAAAGAAAGAAAGAAAGAAAGAAAGAAAGAAAGAAAGAAAGAUAGAUAGAUAGAUAGAUAGAUAGGUAGAUAGAUAGGUAGAUAGAUAGAUAGAUAGAUAGAUAGAUAGAUAGAUAGAUAGAUAGAUAGAUAGAUAGAUAGAUAGAGAUAGAGAGUAUGUAAGUGAUGGAGCAUCAUGUGGCCUUGACGCACGGGCAUUCGUAUCUACUCCUACUUACUUAUAUCUUCUAUUCCCAGUUAAUUAGAAUUUUUUUAUUUGUGGUCAUCUCCUAAGUAAGCAAAUUAUUUUUUGUGUUAAAGAGGAGUACGUUCUGUUUUUAUUUGUGACCUGAAGGUCAGCAACGUAAAGCUUGCAUGCAUCUGAAGGCAUGUUCCAUCCUUGAAUAUAUACUAAUAUAAAGGCAUGUUACAAUUGUGGGCAGGUAGAAAAUUCAUCAUUUUAUACAAGGACUAUGGAGUUAAAUUUUGGUUGGUUGCUUUCGACUUUCACCAUUUGGCCAGCUCUAUCUCUUUCACACCUCUUCCUCUGUGACAAAGGGAUGAAGCUAUUGGUUUUGAAAUUUGAAAUAGAGGCCUGAAGUUGGCACCAAUGCUCCAAUGCAAAUUUGAUACAUCAAGGUUAGCUUUUACAUAGCUUUUGUUACUGAAAAUAUAUCAGAGAAGCACUUCCGAAUCAAUUAUCGGUGUUUAAAAUAUAUUUUUAGAUAUCAUGGACCAUACAUAAUCCCGGCAUCAACUUUUGUGUAGCGCUUGAUAUAUGUUUAUAAUCAUCUGCAAGACUGCGUUAAGAAAAUGAUGUGAAAUAUUUAGAUUGGUACGCUGCGAGGAGUGGGCUGGAAUGACAUGUUUCCUCUCUCUAUAUUGUCAUAGUGGUGGAGGUACAUGCAGAUCUGACGCCAUUUUUACAUAUUUGCAUAUAUCAAUGGUCAAUAUUUUUUUUGUGUUUUCCUACUGACAUUUACAUACUACUUUGCGUUUUAAAAGCUACAAACAGUUUUCUCUGUGCAGACCAUGAAGAGAUGCAUCUCAGAGGACAAGCAAUGCCAUGUUUUCAUUGUACUGAAAAUACUUAGUUUCCUGCCAAUUUUGUUAGUAAUCUAUAUAUAACUAUACUUCUUAUUGAUUUUCUCUGUGCAGACCAUAAAGGGAUGCCUCCCGGGACAAGCAUCGUCGUAUUUUCAUUGUACUAAAAAACAUAAUUUCCUGGUCAUUUUUGUUAUUAAUCCGUACAUAACUAUAUUUAUUAUCAUGAGGUGAAAAUAUUCUGAGGAUGCUUUCAGGUACAUAAAUAAAGAUAUAUAAUGUAUUCAGCUUCUGCUUACACUUUA
Long non-coding RNA from Triticum aestivum (bread wheat), 4431 nucleotides. RefSeq lists it as uncharacterized. NCBI's taxonomy places the organism in Eukaryota, Viridiplantae, Streptophyta, Magnoliopsida, Poales, Poaceae. The record is from RefSeq and is a predicted model, not a curated record. The transcript has 2 exons.